Molecule: ribosomal RNA, 468 nt
Filed under: uncultured bacterium
Lineage: Bacteria
Description: partial 16S ribosomal RNA
Rfam family: Bacterial small subunit ribosomal RNA
Source: RNAcentral
GACGAACGCUGGCGGCGUGCUUAACACAUGCAAGUCGAACGGAAAGGCCCUGCUUUUGUGGGGUGCUCGAGUGGCGAACGGGUGAGUAACACGUGAGUAACCUGGCCUUGACUUUGGGAUAACUUCAGGAAACUGGGGCUAAUACCGGAUAGGAGCUCCUGCUGCAUGGUGGGGGUUGGAAAGUUUCGGCGGUUGGGGAUGGACUCGCGGCUUAUCAGCUUGUUGGUGGGGUAGUGGCUUACAAAGGCUUUGACGGGUAGCCGGCCUGAGAGGGUUACCGGCCACAUUGGGACUGAGAUACGGCCCAGACUCCUACGGGAGGCAGCAGUGGGGAAUAUUGCACAAUGGGCGGAAGCCUGAUGCAGCAACGCCGCGUGCGGGAUGACGGCCUUCGGGUUGUAAACCGCUUUCGCCUGUGACGAAGCGUGAGUGACGGUAAUGGGUAAAGAAGCACCGGCUAACUACGUG